Molecule: ribosomal RNA, 420 nt
Filed under: bacterium
Lineage: Bacteria
Description: partial 16S ribosomal RNA
Rfam family: Bacterial small subunit ribosomal RNA
Source: RNAcentral
UGGGGGAUAUUGCACAAUGGGCGAAAGCCUGAUGCAGCGACGCUGCGUGGGGGAUGAAGGCCUUCGGGUUGUAAACUUCUUUUGCUCUGAACAAGGCAUGCUAAUGGGUGGGUUGAGGGUAGGUGGAGAAGAAGCGCCGGCUAACUACGUGCCAGCAGCCGCGGUAAUACGUAGGGCGCGAGCGUUGUCCGGAAUUAUUGGGCGUAAAGGGCUUGUAGGCGGCUUGUUGCGCCUGCUGUGAAAACGCGGGGCUUAACUUCGCGCGUGCAGUGGGUACGGGCAGGCUUGAGUGUGGUAGGGGUGACUGGAAUUCCAGGUGUAGCGGUGGAAUGCGCAGAUAUCUGGAGGAACACCGAUGGCGAAGGCAGGGCACUGGGCCAUUACUGACGCUGAGGAGCGAAAGCAUGGGUAGCGAACAGG